This is a long non-coding RNA of Gallus gallus (chicken), 461 nucleotides long. Lineage: Eukaryota; Metazoa; Chordata; Aves; Galliformes; Phasianidae. The record is from Ensembl.
UGCAAAUGCAGGAUCUAGCCAAAUGAAAACACACAUCACAGCUAGUUUUUCUCAAUUACUUCUCAAAAAUCUUUUGAAGACAAUCCAUACAGCAAUUUUUGACAUAUGAAAAAACUGGAACAAUUUUAUUUCCUGCUUGACCAACCUGAUCUCCUUCUAUGAUCUAGUGACCUGUCUGGUGGAUGAGGGAAAUGCUAGUGAUGUAGUCUACCUAGACUUCAGCAAAGCCUUUGACACUGCCUUUCACAGUAUUCUCCUGCAGAAGCUGGCAGCCCAUGGCUUGGACAGAUUAACAGAAAGCUAAUUGACAGCAAAAAUACACACAUUCAACUAGAAGAAAAUGAAGACCUCAACUGCCUGCACUUCAGUAAAGGUAUAAAGCAGGAAAAAGGGGCUGACAAGAUAUUCGUCACCGUGCUUGUGCAUCUCUGGAGCUUCUUUUUCCUUUGCAGUGUAGCAGC